CACAUCCUCCGCCGGUGGAGGAUCUUUCUGGUUCUCCUCCGGCAAGUAGAAGCUAACGACAAAUGACGAUGCACAGACAGGUCCGCUGCUCGGAUACACCUCGCUGAUCACCGGCGCUGUCAUUUCAAUCUUCACCCCGUAGUCGUUCUUCCCUUGUAUGUAAUCGAAUAACCUAUAAACUCAUUAAUUUCCUCCAACUCAGAAGUACGUAGUUAAUUAUCUUGGCUACAUCGGAAAGAAGGAAAUUAACAACUUACUGGUCGAAGGCGAGGAGAUUGGCGUGGACGAAGGAGAUGUCUUCAAUCUUGGAGGUCGAUGUCCAGAACGUGGAGUUGUAGCGACGAAUCUCAAAAUCACUGUUGCCGUCGAUUACGUCGUACUUGGGACAGUCCAGGGUGUUGCAGU
RNAcentral lists this long non-coding RNA (405 nucleotides) under Zostera marina. Its description in RNAcentral is "long non-coding RNA (ZMAR_LNC003899)". The record is from RNAcentral. Lineage: Eukaryota; Viridiplantae; Streptophyta; Magnoliopsida; Alismatales; Zosteraceae.